This is a non-coding RNA of Pelobates cultripes (western spadefoot toad), 96 nucleotides long. The record is from the annotation of a GenBank genome assembly. Lineage: Eukaryota; Metazoa; Chordata; Amphibia; Anura; Pelobatidae.
CUCCAGCAGACCCUCCCUCCCAGACCCUCCUACUUCCUGGGCAACAUGGAUGCUGUCCAGGAAGUAGGAGGGUCUGGGAGGGAGGGUCUGCUGGAG